RNAcentral lists this ribosomal RNA (497 nucleotides) under uncultured bacterium. RNAcentral's name for it is "partial 16S ribosomal RNA". It matches the Rfam family "Bacterial small subunit ribosomal RNA", at positions 28 to 507 of the family's 1533-position model. The record is from RNAcentral.
GAUGAACGCUGGCGGCGUGCCUAAUACAUGCAAGUCGAGCGAACGGACGAGAAGCUUGCUUCUCUGAUGUUAGCGGCGGACGGGUGAGUAACACGUGGAUAACCUACCUAUAAGACUGGGGUAACUUCGGGAAACCGUAGCUAAUACCGGAUAAUAUUUUGAACCGCAUGGUUCAAAAGUGAAAGACGGUCUUGCUGUCACUUAUAGACGGAUCCGCGCUGCAUUAGCUAGUUGGUAAGGUAACGGCUUACCAAGGCAACGAUGCAUAGCCGACCUGAGAGGGUGAUCGGCCACACUGGAACUGAGACACGGUCCAGACUCCUACGGGAGGCAGCAGUAGGGAAUCUUCCGCAAUGGGCGAAAGCCUGACGGAGCAACGCCGCGUGAGUGAUGAAGGUCUUCGGAUCGUAAAACUCUGUUAUUAGGGAAGAACAUAUGUGUAAGUAACUGUGCACAUCUUGACGGUACCUAAUCAGAAAGCCACGGCUAACUACGUG